AAACUCAAAUGAAUUGACGGGGACCCGCACAAGCGGUGGAUGAUGUGGUUUAAUUCGAUGCAACGCGAAAAACCUUACCCACCUUUGACAUGUACGGAAUCCUGCAGAGACGCAGGAGUGCUCGAAAGAGAGCCGUAACACAGGUGCUGCAUGGCUGUCGUCAGCUCGUGUCGUGAGAUGUUGGGUUAAGUCCCGCAACGAGCGCAACCCUUGCCAUUAGUUGCUACGAAAGGGCACUCUAAUGGGACUGCCGGUGACAAACCGGAGGAAGGUGGGGAUGACGUCAAGUCCUCAUGGCCCUUAUAGGUGGGGCUACACACGUCAUACAAUGGCUGGUACAAAGGGUUGCCAACCCGCGAGGGGGAGCCAAUCCCACAAAGCCAGUCGUAGUCCGGAUCGCAGUCUGCAACUCGACUGCGUGAAGUCGGAAUCGCUAGUAAUCGUGGAUCAGCAUGUCACGGUGAAUACGUUCCCGGGUCUUGUACACACCGCCCGUCACACCAUGGGAGCGGGUUCUGCCAGAAGUAGUUAGCCUAACCGCAAGGAGGGCGAUUACCACGGCAGGGUUCGUGACUGGGGUGAAGUCGUAACAAGGUAGCCGUAUCGGAAGGUGCGGCUGGAUCACCUCCUUUUG
Molecule: ribosomal RNA, 634 nt
Filed under: uncultured Ottowia sp.
Lineage: Bacteria; Pseudomonadati; Pseudomonadota; Betaproteobacteria; Burkholderiales; Comamonadaceae
Description: bacterial SSU rRNA
Rfam family: Bacterial small subunit ribosomal RNA
Source: RNAcentral